GCCUUCGUGGUGUAACUGGAAGCACGUCCGGCUAGCAAUCGGAAGGUUCGAAGUUCGAAUCCCAACGAGGCCA
This 73-nucleotide transfer RNA is filed under the name Stegodyphus mimosarum. It matches the Rfam family "tRNA". From Rfam's summary of the family: Transfer RNA (tRNA) molecules are approximately 80 nucleotides in length. Their secondary structure includes four short double-helical elements and three loops (D, anti-codon, and T loops). Further hydrogen bonds mediate the characteristic L-shaped molecular structure. tRNAs have two regions of fundamental functional importance: the anti-codon, which is responsible for specific mRNA codon recognition, and the 3' end, to which the tRNAs corresponding amino acid is attached (by aminoacyl-tRNA synthetases). tRNAs cope with the degeneracy of the genetic code in two manners: having more than one tRNA (with a specific anti-codon) for a particular amino acid; and 'wobble' base-pairing, i.e. permitting non-standard base-pairing at the 3rd anti-codon position. Lineage: Eukaryota; Metazoa; Arthropoda; Arachnida; Araneae; Eresidae. The record is from Rfam by way of RNAcentral.